RNAcentral lists this ribosomal RNA (208 nucleotides) under uncultured Thiobacillus sp. RNAcentral's name for it is "partial 16S ribosomal RNA". It matches the Rfam family "Bacterial small subunit ribosomal RNA", at positions 1174 to 1382 of the family's 1533-position model. Lineage: Bacteria; Pseudomonadati; Pseudomonadota; Betaproteobacteria; Nitrosomonadales; Thiobacillaceae. The record is from RNAcentral.
GUGGGAUGACGUCAAGUCCUCAUGGCCCUUAUGGUAGGGCUUCACACGUCAUACAAUGGUCGGUACAGAGGGUUGCCAAGCCGCGAGGCGGAGCCAAUCCCACAAAGCCGAUCGUAGUCCGGAUUGUUCUCUGCAACUCGAGAGCAUGAAGUCGGAAUCGCUAGUAAUCGCAGGUCAGCAUACUGCGGUGAAUACGUUCCCGGGUCUU